This is a long non-coding RNA of Pongo pygmaeus (Bornean orangutan), 250 nucleotides long. RefSeq lists it as uncharacterized. Lineage: Eukaryota; Metazoa; Chordata; Mammalia; Primates; Hominidae. The transcript has 3 exons. The record is from RefSeq and is a predicted model, not a curated record.
AAGGAACCACCUGGGUUCCGUUAGGGCUGGCUGGGAAAAAAGAUAUGAUGGAAAGACGCGGGGAGACGUCUCAGUGGUCUACUAUGGUUGCUCCUGGGCUGGAGAAGAUCAGGACCUAUUCUUACUAUCCAUCGACUGAUUCCAUCCAUCGCUACCCAUCUGCCACCCAUCUGUAACCAUCUUUCUUGCUCUGAAAAUAAUACGCUACAGUACUUUCAAACUACUCGAUAAUACAUAGCGUGGAUUUUCC